This is a non-coding RNA of Cucumis sativus (cucumber), 79 nucleotides long. The record is from Rfam. NCBI's taxonomy places the organism in Eukaryota, Viridiplantae, Streptophyta, Magnoliopsida, Cucurbitales, Cucurbitaceae.
CUGUCAGGGGAAUGAUGUAUUAUCAUAGGGCACUAAACAUGUUCUCAUUUCUAGACAAGGCAUCUGAGAUCGACAUCAG